AUUGAACGCUGGCGGCAUGCCUUACACAUGCAAGUCGAACGGUAACAGGUCUUCGGAUGCUGACGAGUGGCGAACGGGUGAGUAAUACAUCGGAACGUGCCCAGACGUGGGGGAUAACGAGGCGAAAGCUUUGCUAAUACUGCAUACGAUCUAAGGAUGAAAGCAGGGGACCGCAAGGCCUUGUGCGUUUGGAGCGGCCGAUGGCAGAUUAGGUAGUUGGUGGGAUAAAAGCUUACCAAGCCGACGAUCUGUAGCUGGUCUGAGAGGACGACCAGCCACACUGGGACUGAGACACGGCCCAGACUCCUACGGGAGGCAGCAGUGGGGAAUUUUGGACAAUGGGCGAAAGCCUGAUCCAGCAAUGCCGCGUGCAGGAUGAAGGCCUUCGGGUUGUAAACUGCUUUUGUACGGAACGAAAAGGCUCUGGCUAAUACCUGGGGCACAUGACGGUACCGUAAGAAUAAGCACCGGCUAACUACGUG
RNAcentral lists this ribosomal RNA (482 nucleotides) under uncultured bacterium. RNAcentral's name for it is "partial 16S ribosomal RNA". It matches the Rfam family "Bacterial small subunit ribosomal RNA", at positions 30 to 507 of the family's 1533-position model. The record is from RNAcentral.